CCUACGGGUGGCAGCAGUGGGGAAUAUUGCACAAUGGGCGAAAGCCUGAACGAGCAAUGCCGCGUGAACGAGGAAGGUCUUCGGAUCGUAAAGUUCUGUUGAAGGGGAAAAAGAGCGGAGAGAGGAAAUGAACUCCGAUUGAUAUUACCCUUCGAGGAAGUCACGGCUAACUACGUGCCAGCAGCCGCGGUAAUACGUAGGUGGCGAGCGUUAUCCGGAAUGAUUGGGCGUAAAGGGUGCGUAGGCGGCCUGCUAAGUCUGGAGUGAAAGGUACGGGCUCAACCGGUACAGGCUCUGGAAACUGGCGGGCUAGGGAGCAGGAGAGGGCGGUGGAACUCCAUGUGUAGCGGUAAAAUGCGUAGAUAUAUGGAAGAACACCAGUGGCGAAGGCGGCCGCCUGGCCUGUUGACUGACGCUGAGGCACGAAAGCGUGGGGAGCAAAUAGGAUUAGAUACCCCUGUAGUC
RNAcentral lists this ribosomal RNA (465 nucleotides) under uncultured bacterium. RNAcentral's name for it is "partial 16S ribosomal RNA". It matches the Rfam family "Bacterial small subunit ribosomal RNA", at positions 338 to 795 of the family's 1533-position model. The record is from RNAcentral.